UGGGGCUGGCCCCUCUUAAAUUCGCAGCUACCACGCGCAGCAACACCCUGGGCCUUCUCCCCUGGGCCAUGGGUCUUUUCCAUUGCUCGGUCUGAUCCCCAGGCUUUGCUCCAAAACCUGAUCAAAUCCCCCGUCUCCGGGAGCCUUCCCUGCCUCUAAGUGCCUCAGUCUCCCUUCUAUAAAGUGGAGGCGCUGGCAAUACAGAAUACCAAGAAGUCCUCCCCUCCUGGAGCUGACAUUUCAGCACAGAGGCCUUGAGCCCCUCUCCACGGUUCUAACAACAGACACCCGCCUGUUACCAGAAGAUGAGGAAACUCUCCGAGACAACGUGAUUAUCUGAGGUCACAUCACACAGAUGGUCAUCUCUGGAGCAGAAGCAUGCUCAUCAGUGGUGAGGAGCACAGCCUGUGGCAGGGACAGACUGCAUUAGGAUGCUGUCUGGGAGGCUUACAGGCCCACCUGUCCUGAAGGCUGGGCAUGUGGGGGCCCUCCCCAGGCACUGAUGUUUUGCCUCCUUCCCCAGGAUCACUUAUCACCCCUGGCACCCUACCCACCAAAUGCUGCCUCCUCUACCAGAUGCCGCAGAACACACAGGCAAUGCCUGAAUUCCUCCAACAGUGCCAAACUGGUCCUGAAACAUAUAGCUCUGACCACAGAGUUCUUCCCAACGAUGAAGAAAUCUCUUCUCUAGAGCUUCUACCCACCGGACCUUGUUCAGCCCAACAGACCCAAAAAGAGCAAGUCUAACCCUUCCACAAGGGCAACUGUGAAAGAUCACAAAACAGUCAUUCUACCUCUUGCCAAUUCAGUAGUAGUCAGCACAUGGUGCUGGACGCUUUGUACCCAGGACCCUUCCUCAGGCCACGCUCUAGUUUGCUGUGUGCCUCAAAGUAUAGGACACGGCACAGACAGCAUCAGA
Long non-coding RNA from Ailuropoda melanoleuca (giant panda), 919 nucleotides. RefSeq lists it as uncharacterized. NCBI's taxonomy places the organism in Eukaryota, Metazoa, Chordata, Mammalia, Carnivora, Ursidae. The record is from RefSeq and is a predicted model, not a curated record. The transcript has 4 exons.